Long non-coding RNA from Mytilus californianus (California mussel), 576 nucleotides. RefSeq lists it as uncharacterized. NCBI's taxonomy places the organism in Eukaryota, Metazoa, Mollusca, Bivalvia, Mytilida, Mytilidae. The record is from RefSeq and is a predicted model, not a curated record. The transcript is spliced from 6 exons.
CGACCAGAAUGUCCGUCUUUCCAAAAAAACGUACCAUGUUUGAUUUACCAGCACGAUUGUAGUCAUGAUAAAGAAUGUCCCAAAGGUCAAAUAUGUUGUGGUGUCAUUUGCGGAAUAGGAUGUGCAAACCCUGUGCAACCGAAUCCGCCAAAAACCAGGCAGGGGGUUUGUCCAUCAGUUCCAGAAGACGAUCCCAACAUUUGUAAUCUUGUAGAUGUAAGAAAUGACUGCCAAGUUGACUCAGAUUGUACAGAAAGAAAUCAAAAAUGUUGUAGGACACAAUGUGGAGGACGAUCGUGCUCUAAUCCUAUAAAGGGUGAUCGUCCCGGAUGUCCAGUGUGUUUCAACAACCAGCCGGGUCCAGUAUGUCCCGUGUGCUUUCAAUAUCAGCAGCUGUGCAACUCAGACAAGGAUUGUAAACGAGGUCAGCUUUGUUGUUUCAACCCUUCCUGUGGUACAUCAUGUGAAAGGACAUUUGGUCGAUGAAAUUAUCCUGUACUGGUAUCCAAAUGAUCCAAUGAAAAACCUCACAACAUUUAUGAGCUUACGUUUCAUUUAUUCAAUUAUGACUCAACU